AUCUUACUGGAGAUCCCUGUGUACUAGAGGCCUUCUGAAACGCAUCUCCAGAGCCUCAAACUGUUAACCAAAGAGUCAGUUCUGGGUCAGCGAGGAUUUGAGUGGUUAAAACUGCACAGUUCAUGGGGAGAGGUAAAUUGCUGGAAUGGGGCCUUGAGAGGAUGGCCAUUCUGGAGAUGUUCAAGUCCAGACCCUUGGCAAACUGCUUUAGCUGAGCAUGCUUUCUCCUGAGAUUUGCAGUAGAGACUCCUGGAGAUCCCUUCCAACUUGCUGUGUUUCUGGGCAUCAUGAUCCAAACAGUUAAUUCAGCUUUUUCACAGCUUUGCCUCUGCAAAUUAAACUGGAAUUGAAAGGACUGGCAUAUCUCAAAAGGCCUUUGGAAUGAAAUAUUCAGGAAUGUUUAUCAGUCAAAAAGCUGAGGAAUUUCAGGUUGAUAGGCAGUCUUCUAGAUGUUUCUAAACUUUGCUGAACAUCAACUCCUAGACUUCUGCAGGCUGUCUAUGUAAUUCUGAAUUUACUUUCUAAAUUGGCACGUAACCUAUUGAAUACGUUUUAAAGAGCAUAGCAGAACUCUGAGCCAGGAUAUACAAAUUGAGGUGGAAUGUGCUUAUAACUGCAUAAGUAAAUGUGUAUGUGUAUGAUGAGUCCCAGAAGAAGUUGUAUACUGAAAACUGCAUUGUCUAACCUUCUUAUGUUUAAUUCAUCCUUUGAUAUGCUUGAUUAAUAUCAUUGCAGCCACUUUUUGUGUAGAUAAGUAUUAUUUUUUUGUAAAAUGCUAAAAAACAUCAGUAAAGGUAUGAUUUCUAAAAGAUUGUACAACUUUGUGUAUAUAUUUUCUAUUAUAGACACAAAAUACUUGGCUUUUCCUCCGAAAUUAAAUAAACAUUUAAUU
RNAcentral lists this long non-coding RNA (892 nucleotides) under Gallus gallus (chicken). Its description in RNAcentral is "lncRNA (ENSGALG00010019503.1)". Lineage: Eukaryota; Metazoa; Chordata; Aves; Galliformes; Phasianidae. The record is from RNAcentral.